UACGAAGGGGGCUAGCGUUGCUCGGAAUCACUGGGCGUAAAGCGCACGUAGGCGGGCUCUUAAGUCGGUGGUGAGAUCCUGGAGCUCAACUCCAGAACUGCCUCCGAUACUGAGAGUCUUCGAGUUCGGGAGAGGUGAGUGGAACUGCGAGUGUAGAGGUGAAAUUCGUAGAUAUUCGCAAGAACACCAGUGGCGAAGGCGGCUCACUGGACGACUGUUGACGCUGAGGUGCGAAAGCGUGGGGAGCAAACAGG
Molecule: ribosomal RNA, 254 nt
Filed under: uncultured bacterium
Lineage: Bacteria
Description: partial 16S ribosomal RNA
Rfam family: Bacterial small subunit ribosomal RNA
Source: RNAcentral